CCUCAAGCACUGAUUGCUCCUGUUAUUUCUGUCUCUACUGAUCGCCUCGUCACGUCUCGCUGUGUGAAUCUGAAGCAUGAGAUCAUCUGUGAUGCUUCAGGAUUCAGACUGGACACCAUCUUCAGAGCGAGGAAUGAAACUGCAGCGACUCCAGACUCAG
Sinocyclocheilus grahami is the source of this 160-nucleotide long non-coding RNA. RefSeq lists it as uncharacterized. NCBI's taxonomy places the organism in Eukaryota, Metazoa, Chordata, Actinopteri, Cypriniformes, Cyprinidae. The transcript is spliced from 3 exons. The record is from RefSeq and is a predicted model, not a curated record.